RNAcentral lists this long non-coding RNA (804 nucleotides) under Anas platyrhynchos platyrhynchos (common mallard). RNAcentral describes it as "lncRNA (ENSAPLG00000017828.1)". The record is from RNAcentral. Lineage: Eukaryota; Metazoa; Chordata; Aves; Anseriformes; Anatidae.
CCCCAAAGUGUCCCCAAGGUGUCCCCGGGUUGUGACCCCCGCUCUCUGUCCUCAGGGAUCCGCUGGCUUCCCGGGUCCCGUGGGGCUGGCGGGAGAGAAAGGGAAGAGGGUGAGUGCCCUACAACACACAACACCACCCCAUUGGGAUGUUCCCCGUCCCCAGAAGGAUUUUGGGGUGGGGGGGACACCCCCCGUGUGCUGCUGUCCCCCUCCCACCUCGUCUCUCCCCACAGGGCAAGGCUGGCCAGGCUGGGCAGACGGGACAGCGAGGGCCCCCGGGCCUGCCGGGGGAGCGAGGGCUGCCCGGCCCCACAGGGAAACCCGGCCCAAAGGUUUGUAGGAACUUGGUUUUGGGGUCCUCCUCGGCCCCGCUGUGUCCCCCCCCCCCUUGCUGCCACCCUUUUUCUGUCUCCCCAGGGGGAUCCUGGCCACGACGGGGCCCCCGGCGUUGUGGGGGAAAAGGUAAAGACACCACAUGGGGUGCACCCCUACAAAGCCACCCCAAAAAGGAACGGGGCCGAACGUGGGGGUAUCGGGGUGCCAGGCUUGAGGGGGGGGCACCAGAGCUUUUGGGGGAAGCUCCAGCGCCACCGCCAAAAUUUUUCCUUCUUCCCACAGGGCCCUCAAGGUCCGCAGGGUCCCCACGGCUUCCCAGGCACCAAAGGGCCCCCUGUAAGUUUUUUUUUGGGGGGGGGGCAGCGGGAUUUUGGCAUGUCCCCCUGCCCUCCCCUCCAUAACCCCCUGCUCCUGCCUAGGGCCCCCCCGGGAAGGACGGCUUGCCGGGACACCCAGGACAGCGUGGCG